Molecule: ribosomal RNA, 492 nt
Filed under: uncultured bacterium
Lineage: Bacteria
Description: partial 16S ribosomal RNA
Rfam family: Bacterial small subunit ribosomal RNA
Source: RNAcentral
AGUGAACGCUGGCGGUAGGCCUAACACAUGCAAGUCGAACGGCAGCACAGUAAGAGCUUGCUCUUACGGGUGGCGAGUGGCGGACGGGUGAGGAAUACAUCGGAAUCUACUUUUUCGUGGGGGAUAACGUAGGGAAACUUACGAUAAUACCGCAUACGACCUACGGGUGAAAGCAGGGCAUCUUCGGACCUUGCGCGAUUGAAUGAGCCGAUGUCGGAUUAGCUAGUUGGCGGGGUAAAGGCCCACCAAGGCGACGAUCCGUAGCUGGUCUGAGAGGAUGAUCAGCCACACUGGAACUGAGACACGGUCCAGACUCCUACGGGAGGCAGCAGUGGGGAAUAUUGGACAAUGGGCGCAAGCCUGAUCCAGCCAUACCGCGUGGGUGAAGAAGGCCUUCGGGUUGUAAAGCCCUUUUGUUGGGAAAGAAAGGCAGCAGGUUAAUACCCCGCUGUUCUGACGGUACCCAAAGAAUAAGCACCGGCUAACUUCGUG